AGAGUUUGAUCCUGGCUCAGAAUAAACGCUGGCGGCGUGCCUAACACAUGCAAGUCGAACGAGAAAGGUGUCUUCGGAUGCUGAGUAAAGUGGCGAACGGGUGAGUAACGCGUGGAUGACCUGCCUUUUAGUGGGGGAUAACUCGGGGAAACCCGGGCUAAUACCGCAUGAGCCCGCGAGGGGAAAGGCUUUUUUUAGAAGUUGCUAGAAGAGGGGUCCGCGUCCGAUUAGCUAGUAGGUAAGGUAAAGGCUUACCUAGGCAACGAUCGGUAGCCGGUCUGAGAGGACGGACGGCCACACUGGGACUGAGACACGGCCCAGACUCCUACGGGAGGCAGCAGUGGGGAAUUUUGGGCAAUGGGGGCAACCCUGACCCAGCAACGCCGCGUGGAGGAUGAAAGUUUUCGAAUUGUAAACUCCUGUCCGGAGGGACGAAGUAAGUGACGGUACCUCUGGAGGAAGCCCCGGCUAACUCCGUGCCAGCAGCCGCGGUAAUACGGGGGGGGCAAGCGUUGUUCGGAAUUACUGGGCGUAAAGGGCGCGUAGGCGGUUUUGGAAGUUAUGGGUGAAAGCCCCCGGCUUAACCGGGGAAUGGCCUGUAAAACCACGGAACUGGAGUGCUGGAGAGGGAAGUGGAAUUCCCAGUGUAGCGGUGAAAUGCGUAGAUAUUGGGAGGAACACCAGUGGCGAAGGCGGCUUCCUGGACAGACACUGACGCUGAGGCGCGAAAGCCAGGGGAGCAAACGGGAUUAGAUACCCCGGUAGUCCUGGCUGUAAACGAUGAAUACUUGGUGUGGGGGGUAUAGAAGUCCCUCUGUGCCGAAGAGAACUCGAUAAGUAUUCCGCCUGGGGAGUACGGCCGCAAGGCUGAAACUCAAAGGAAUUGACGGGGGCCCGCACAAGCGGUGGAGCAUGUGGUUUAAUUCGACGCAACGCGAAGAACCUUACCGGGGUUUGAACUGUAUCGGCAACCUGAUAAGAAGCAGGGUUCCCUUAGGGGACUGAUACAGAGGUGCUGCAUGGCUGUCGUCAGCUCGUGUCGUGAGAUGUUGGGUUAAGUCCCGCAACGAGCGCAACCCUUGUCUGUAGUUGCCAUCAGGUGAAGCUGGGCACUCUACGGAGACUGUCGGCGAAAAGCCGGAGGAAGGUGGGGAUGACGUCAAGUCCUCAUGGCCUUUAUGUCCCGGGCUACACACGUGCUACAAUGGAUGGAACAGAGGGCUGCGAACUCGCGAGAGUAAGCGAAUCCCAGAAAUCCAUUCUCAGUUCGGAUUGCAGUCUGCAACUCGACUGCAUGAAGUUGGAAUCGCUAGUAAUCGCGGAUCAGAACGCCGCGGUGAAUACGUUCCCGGGCCUUGUACACACCGCCCGUCACAUCACGAAAGUGGGCUGUACUAGAAGCCGCCGGCCUAACCCUUUAUUGGGAGGGAGGCGUCGACGGUAUGGCUCAUGAUUGGGGUGAAGUCGUAACAAGGUAACC
This 1480-nucleotide ribosomal RNA is filed under the name uncultured bacterium. RNAcentral describes it as "bacterial SSU rRNA". It matches the Rfam family "Bacterial small subunit ribosomal RNA". The record is from RNAcentral.